Molecule: ribosomal RNA, 460 nt
Filed under: uncultured bacterium
Lineage: Bacteria
Description: partial 16S ribosomal RNA
Rfam family: Bacterial small subunit ribosomal RNA
Source: RNAcentral
CCUACGGGUGGCAGCAGUGAGGAAUAUUGGUCAAUGGAGGCGACUCUGAACCAGCCAAGUAGCGUGAAGGAUGACUGCCCUAUGGGUUGUAAACUGCUUUUAUGUGGGAAUAAACUGUUCCACGUGUGGCAUAUUGUAUGUACCAUAUGAAUAAGGAUCGGCUAAUUCCGUGCCAGCAGCCGCGGUAAUACGGAGGGUCCGAGCGUUAUCCGGAUUUAUUGGGUUUAAAGGGAGCGUAGGUGGCUUGUUAAGUGAGUUGUGAAAGGUUGCGGCUCAACCGUAGAACUGCAGUUGGAACUGGCAGUCUUGAGUACAGUAGAGGUGGGCGGAAUUCGUGGUGUAGCGGUGAAAUGCUUAGAUAUCACGAAGAACUCCGAUUGCGAAGGCAGUUCACUGUACUGUAACUGACACUGAGGCUCGAAAGUGUGGGUAUCAAACAGGAUUAGAUACCCGAGUAGUC